AACUUAGCAUAAACAUCUUGCUUGUGGUAUAUGCAUAUGUUAUGGAUAUCCCUAGCCUGAUGUAUGUAGACAUCAAGAAUACCGAUGAAAUCCUCCAGGUUGUCAACCAUGGCUUCCUUCCUCUGGGCCUCAAUUCCCUUGGACAAGCUAUCAGAGGUCUGCACUGCAUAAUGAGAUUUCUGCUUCUCUGGCUCAGCAACAACAGAACUCUUGAAUGGUGAUACGACAGAUUGAGGGGAAUCCAUUAUCACGCC
RNAcentral lists this unclassified non-coding RNA (254 nucleotides) under Hevea brasiliensis (rubber tree). Lineage: Eukaryota; Viridiplantae; Streptophyta; Magnoliopsida; Malpighiales; Euphorbiaceae. The record is from RNAcentral.